RNAcentral lists this ribosomal RNA (433 nucleotides) under uncultured bacterium. RNAcentral describes it as "partial 16S ribosomal RNA". It matches the Rfam family "Bacterial small subunit ribosomal RNA", at positions 29 to 507 of the family's 1533-position model. The record is from RNAcentral.
AACGAACGCUGGCGGCAUGCCUAACACAUGCAAGUCGAACGGCACCUUCGUGUGUAGUUGCGCACGGGUGCGUCACGCGUGGGAACCUUCCCUUAUGUUCGGAAUACCUCUUUGACAUGGGUGCUAAUACCGGAUAAUUUCUUCUGAUACAAGAUGUGUCGACUUUGGAUGGGCCCGCGUUGGUUUAGAUGGUGGGUAUGGGAAGAGCCUACCACGGCUAGGCUCCUUAGCUGGUUUGAGAGGAAGGGCAGCCACACUGGGAGUGGGACCCGGCGCAGACUACUAGGGGAGGGAGGAGUGGGUAAUAUAGGAAAAUGGGGGAAAUGAUGAACCAGCUAGGCCGCGUGAGUGAUGAAGGCGGGAGGGUUGUAAAGCUCUUUAAUCCGGGAUGAUAAUGACGGUACCGGGAGAAUAAGCACCGGCUAACUCCGUG